AACGUGGUUUUCAGAACGUAGUCAUUUGUGCAGCUGAGACUUCCUUCUGUACUUCAUGUUGUAUUAAGCUGUGGACGUAGUAUCUGUUUAGAUAUAAAUCCAAUGCAUCGGCUGAGUUUGAUAUUGAAUUGAACGGGAAGAUAUAGUGUACCAGUAAUAGAAGAAUGAGAGCAAAGUGGAGGAAGAAGCGAAUGCGAAGGCUGAAGCGUAAGAGGAGGAAGAUGAGGGCAAGGUCAAAAUAAGCAGCGGUUCACCAAAAGCCACUGAAUGCCUGGAACAAUGAACUUCAUGAUCAGGAGUUUAAAGCUGCACCGAGUCAUUGUUAAAUCUGGGGUUGCUGUAUUGCUUUUGUUUGAAUAAACGACAGUGGAUUUUGUGUA
Zootermopsis nevadensis is the source of this 380-nucleotide long non-coding RNA. RefSeq lists it as uncharacterized. Lineage: Eukaryota; Metazoa; Arthropoda; Insecta; Blattodea; Termopsidae. The record is from RefSeq and is a predicted model, not a curated record.